RNAcentral lists this unclassified non-coding RNA (264 nucleotides) under Hevea brasiliensis (rubber tree). Lineage: Eukaryota; Viridiplantae; Streptophyta; Magnoliopsida; Malpighiales; Euphorbiaceae. The record is from RNAcentral.
CAGAAAUCGACAUAUUUUAGCCAGUUAACUUUAAAUACUGAUCAAGUUAAUCAGAUCUCCUUGAAAAAAAAUAAUAGACAGCGUUAUUUAAAUCGCACUAAUUUGUGCACGUUCACAGAUAAAUAUACUAUGUUAAGUGAUAAUUCAGAUUAACACAGAUUUGAUAAGCCAAUCAUAAUAGAUAGUACUGAUUAUUGUUUGUUAAUAGAGUUCAGAAAACGCCGGCGAAAGAUAGCAACAAAAGCAUACCCUUGCCGGAAUUUG